Molecule: unclassified non-coding RNA, 956 nt
Filed under: Hevea brasiliensis (rubber tree)
Lineage: Eukaryota; Viridiplantae; Streptophyta; Magnoliopsida; Malpighiales; Euphorbiaceae
Source: RNAcentral
GAGAGAGGAAGAGAAAUGAACAAGUUAUAGGGGGAGAGAGAAAAAAUCAAAAGAGGAAUAGCUGGAUUCACAUGGCUGAUUUACUAAUGGGUCCUCUUUUUCUCUCUCUCUUCACCUAACCGACAAUUAUGAUCUUUGAAUCUUAAACUAAGAAGAAAAGAAUUGUUCUUCUUCUUCCUCAUUGUAAUAUUUCUGUUUAUCCCCUUUUCUCUGUUGAUUUUGAGCUGGACAAGUAAUGGCUGAUGAUAAGGAGAUGUCAGCUCCUGUUAUGGAUGGGAAUGAUGCAGUCACUGGUCAUAUAAUUUCCACAACCAUUGGAGGCAAGAAUGGCGAGCCAAAGCAGACAGUUAGUUACAUGGCUGAACGUGUUGUGGGGACUGGAUCGUUUGGGAUUGUCUUUCAGGCAAAAUGCCUGGAAAAUGGGGAGACUGUGGCAAUAAAGAAGGUUCUGCAAGACCGUAGAUACAAGAAUCGUGAGUUGCAGCUAAUGCGCACUAUGGAUCACACAAAUGUUGUUUGCCUAAAGCACUGCUUCUAUUCAACUACGAGUACAAAUGAACUUUUUCUCAAUCUAGUCAUGGAAUAUGUUCCAGAAACUAUGUAUAGAGUGCUAAAGCAUUAUAGCAAUAUGAACCAGAGAAUGCCACUCAUCUAUGUUAAGCUUUACACCUAUCAAGUAUUUAGAGGGCUGGCUUACAUGCAUACUGUUGCUGGCGUAUGCCACAGGGACUUGAAGCCUCAGAAUGUUUUGGUAGACCCUCUUACUCACCAAGUAAAGAUUUGCGAUUUUGGAAGCGCGAAAGUGCUGGUUAAAGGAGAAGCUAACAUCUCAUACAUCUGCUCGCGGUUUUAUCGGGCUCCUGAGCUCAUAUUUGGUGCAACAGAGUAUACUACUUCAAUUGAUAUCUGGUCAGCUGGCUGUGUCCUUGCUGAGCUUCUUCUUGGCCAGCCAUUGU